This is a long non-coding RNA of Rhagoletis zephyria (snowberry fruit fly), 153 nucleotides long. RefSeq lists it as uncharacterized. NCBI's taxonomy places the organism in Eukaryota, Metazoa, Arthropoda, Insecta, Diptera, Tephritidae. The record is from RefSeq and is a predicted model, not a curated record.
GUUUUACAAAUAAUGCCAAUACUAUAUGAAAUUACUAUUUACAAAUUUCUUUGAUUAAUAAAACUAAUUACUGAGACUAUAAUAAAAUUUAUUUAUUAUUUAAAUAAAUAAAAAUUCAUGCAAAAACUUAAAUAUAAAAUAAAUCAAUAAUAA